Molecule: non-coding RNA, 97 nt
Filed under: unclassified sequences
Description: DUF3800-III RNA
Rfam family: DUF3800-III RNA
Source: Rfam by way of RNAcentral
AAACCGCAUCCGUAAGUCCUGGACCGGCUGCUCUUGCGUAAGCAGGUGAUACUCCGUCUCUGAACGGUGAGAAUCGGCCCCCAGGGUGGAGCGGUUU